GACGGAGGAUGCAAGCGUUAUCCGGAAUUAUUGGGCGUAAAGCGUCCGCAGGUGGCUGUUCAAGUCUGCUGUCAAAGCGCAGAGCUUAACUCUGUACAGGCGGUGGAAACUGAAGAGCUAGAGUAUGGUAGGGGUAGAGGGAAUUCCCGGUGUAGCGGUGAAAUGCGUAGAUAUCGGGAAGAACACCAGUGGCGAAAGCGCUCUACUGGGCCAUAACUGACACUGAGGAGCGAAAGCGUGGGGAGCGAACAGG
This 253-nucleotide ribosomal RNA is filed under the name uncultured bacterium. RNAcentral describes it as "partial 16S ribosomal RNA". It matches the Rfam family "Bacterial small subunit ribosomal RNA", at positions 524 to 776 of the family's 1533-position model. The record is from RNAcentral.